GCUGGGUGUGGCAGUACACACCUGUAGUCCUAACUACAAAGGAAGAUGAGGCAGGAGGAUUACUUGAGCCCAGGGGUUUGGGGCCAGCCUGGGCAACACAGAAAGACACCAUCUCAA
Molecule: small RNA, 117 nt
Filed under: Marmota monax (woodchuck)
Lineage: Eukaryota; Metazoa; Chordata; Mammalia; Rodentia; Sciuridae
Source: RNAcentral